AUUUAUGGAGAGUUUGAUCCUGGCUCAGGAUGAACGCUGGCGGCGUGCCUAAUACAUGCAAGUCGAGCGAACAGAUAAGGAGCUUGCUCCUUUGAAGUUAGCGGCGGACGGGUGAGUAACACGUGGGUAACCUACCUAUAAGACUGGGAUAACUUCGGGAAACCGGAGCUAAUACCGGAUAACAUUUAGAACCGCAUGGUUCUAAAGUGAAAGAUGGUUUUGCUAUCACUUAUAGAUGGACCCGCGCCGUAUUAGCUAGUUGGUAAGGUAACGGCUUACCAAGGCGACGAUACGUAGCCGACCUGAGAGGGUGAUCGGCCACACUGGAACUGAGACACGGUCCAGACUCCUACGGGAGGCAGCAGUAGGGAAUCUUCCGCAAUGGGCGAAAGCCUGACGGAGCAACGCCGCGUGAGUGAUGAAGGGUUUCGGCUCGUAAAACUCUGUUAUUAGGGAAGAACAAAUGUGUAAGUAACUGUGCACAUCUUGACGGUACCUAAUCAGAAAGCCACGGCUAACUACGUGCCAGCAGCCGCGGUAAUACGUAGGUGGCAAGCGUUAUCCGGAAUUAUUGGGCGUAAAGCGCGCGUAGG
Molecule: ribosomal RNA, 593 nt
Filed under: Listeria monocytogenes
Lineage: Bacteria; Bacillati; Bacillota; Bacilli; Caryophanales; Listeriaceae
Description: bacterial SSU rRNA
Rfam family: Bacterial small subunit ribosomal RNA
Source: RNAcentral